CUCUCUGUGAGCUCAGAGAAGGGUUUCCAUUACACUGACCAGCUCUGAUGCCUGGAAUGGAUUGUGGAAAUAACUUGGCUCAAAGAAAGGAGGUAGACAAUAGGCAAAGCAAACUGGUUUUGCCACCUUUUUCUUCUAAUCAAAAGAGAAAGGAAAUAAUUGGUUUGGAAAUUGGCACUGUUCAGCAGGCCAGCACUUCCACCUUCUGUAGGUGACUGAUGACUAUGUGGGAGUGCACAAAGUGUGACACGGGUCCUCCCUCCUGCUAAAUGGAGAGGUCUGCAGAGCUGAGCCUCCCCCUGUUUCCAACCAAACCUGUCCAGUGAGGCUUUUGCAGAAACGUAAGCAAAUCCAUCCACUUGUUUUUCUGCUCAGUACUUUCAAAGGAACACAGUGGUAUCAGUAUUUUGAAAGGAACAUUAGGAAGAGUGAAAGAGGCCACACUGUACCAGAAUCUGACCUCAUGCUAGUGACUACAAGAAGUUUCCUUCUCAUGGUCACACAAGAGUGACACACACCUGGUGUGACCACCCACUCUCCCCACUUGGUGUCUCUGAAGCCAAGGCAGGUGUGCUGAAAUGCCCAGAGGAGCACGUGGUCUGCAGCAGGUUCUUAUGCCCUGAGAAGGCUGGAGAGGCACAAGAAAGUGGGAAGAGACACACAGGACAGCUGACCCACACUGGCCAAAGGGAUAUUCCAGACCAUGAGACAUCAUGCUUAAUAUGUAAACUGGAGGUCCCUACUGGAUGGAAGCUACUGUGAUCAGUAAGGAAAUGCAGGGUUUUUUCUCUCUAGCAAAAUACAGUCAGACUCCUUGCAGUCCACAGGUGUACCUGUCUCCUCAUGAGGACAGGGUAGAGGCUACACCAAACACUGAAAACAUUUGUCUCCUGCUGAAGCAGUACUUAAGAUCAGUACUUAAGGGGCCUGGACUUCCUGGCCAGACCUGGAUUCAGCGCAGCUUUUGCAGUGGUUUUGGUUGUGCCACUGUAGCACGGUACUCCAGAUCUCAGGCAUGAGCCCAGCCUUGCUACAAGGACAGAAACAACCUGGUGGAACACUAUCUCCCCAGCAGGCUGGGGAUCUCAGCCUAGUAUGUGUUUCCCCAGCAGUAUCUGGCAGCCCCAGCCUGUGAUCCCUGCCAGCUCUCAGCUCCCCCUGCCCUGGAGAUGAUGAUGCAGGGGUUUUAUGCAGUGGUAAAUAUGGGGUAUCUCCAGACCUUGCUCUCUCCAUCCCCUGGAACCUGCUUUCAAUGAGGACUUCUGCAGUCUCUGGGAAGACGCUGCCUGCUCCUACCUUCAUCUCCCAAGUGUCCUCCAAAGAUGACCACUGGAUUAACUGCUGGCACCUUGAGCUAGCUGCUGAGGAGUGGCAGCCUCAUUAGGGAGGGGUCAUUUAUACCCAGCAGAUGUGCUGCUGUUUGCAGCAGUUUUAACAUGCUGGUGUUAUCCUGUCAGUGAGGAAAGAGAAGCUUUUUGCUACAGCUACAGCUGUGGAAGAUACGAGUACUGCAUCUGCUGUUCCAUCUUUAGGCUGAUAUUUUCUGUACAAAAAAGCUUAUGGAAAGAAGAGAUUCACAUUAGAUCUAUGGACAAAAAUCAAGAUAUUUAGCAAUCCCUCUAUCCUCAACUAAUCCUUAAUUCAGGUCUAGGAGCCCUUUGACAGCUGUAAUGGUGUGCUCUGAAGUGCCAAGGAAAGAAAGGAGAAAGUUCUUAUACUGGAACAUGGCUGGAAUUAGUUUUGUAAAAUCUUGACUCUCUAGUAUUUAUCCUUUUGGAGCAAUAAACCUUGAAAGAGAAUGCAGAAUUUGAAAAAGUGAAACAAAGCCCCAAGGACACGAGCAGGCAGUCUGACAAAGCGGUGGGAUUGCUGCUGCAGGAGUCCCUUUGCCUCCUCAAACGCUGUUCACAGAGCCCUCCUCUCCGGGCAUGCUGCGCCUUCUCCAGCAUCGCCUGCUCCCGUUUCUACAUCGCCUCUGCUCUCUCCAUGUUGUGUUUCCAUGGAGCCCAAGCUCUGCACCGAGCAGGACAGGAGCCCCAGGGAUGCCCUCCAGCCUCAAGGCAAGCACUCUGCACUGGAGGCACCUCAGGCACCCCAGGUACCUCCCUGGCCCUGGACACAGCUCCAGCGAGUCCCUUGUCUCCCGUGCUCCAGCUGCCUGCCUGGAAAUCAUCCCUAAGUGGAAAGGAGGCUGAGAAGGACAGAGAAUUGGGCUGAGGUCCAGGAUACCCAUUUGUGGAGCUGUUGCCACAUUAACCUCCCUCCAAAGGCAGGAGUUUGCUUCCUUUUGCUUUACCCAAAAUAAUUGUGAGGCUCUUAAAAUGCAUCCUGCAUGUACUAAACAGGGAAGCCCACAGAGUACACCUGAAAGAUUGCAUGAGAAAAUAGGAUAUCUGAGGAGGUGCUAACAGUUUUAUUGGGUCUUAAUGACAGGGGGAAAAUUUUAAAGCUGCUGGAAGACAAAGAUUUCUUUUUCCCCAAGUGUAACAACAUGCUCCUCCCAGACAGUAUGGAGGUGUGCAGCCCUUGG
Molecule: long non-coding RNA, 2530 nt
Organism: Passer domesticus (house sparrow)
Lineage: Eukaryota; Metazoa; Chordata; Aves; Passeriformes; Passeridae
Exons: 8
Source: RefSeq, a predicted model, not a curated record